This 199-nucleotide unclassified non-coding RNA is filed under the name soil metagenome. Its description in RNAcentral is "partial contains 5.8S ribosomal RNA, internal transcribed spacer 2, and large subunit ribosomal RNA". The record is from RNAcentral.
AACGGUCUAUACCUGCGGUACCUGCGGAGGGAUCAUUAUCAAUUUACAGCGGACUUCGGUCCUGUCUGCACCCUUGUCUUUUGCGUACUAUAUGUUUCCUCGGUGGGCUUGCCUGCCGAUAGGACACUUAUAAACUCUUUUGUUAUUGCAAUCAGCGUCAGAAAACUAUAAUAGUUACAACUUUUAGCAACGGAUCUCU